ACUCGGUAAUGUUUCCUUCCGUAGGUGAACCUGCGGAGGGAUCAUUACCGAGUUGUGGAAACACAAUCUCCCUUUCUUGUUGUUUGACCGGUUGCCUUGCCUUCGGGCAGGAUUAUUCUGAAUCAGUGUCGUCUGAGUACUUUUAUAAUACUAUAAAACUUUCAACAACGGAUCUCUUGGUUCUGGCAUCGAUGAAGAACGCAGCGAAAUGCGAUAAGUAAUGUGAAUUGCAGACACCGUGAAUCAUCGAAUCUUUGAACGCACAUUGCGCCCUUUGGUAUUCCGAAGGGCAUGCCUGUUCGAGCGUCAUUACACUAUUCUUCGGAGUAUUGACAGUGGCUUACGCCUUGUCUAAAACCCUUGGUGGUAACUAUCAAUCACGCAUAGUAAUCUCUGCGAAGGUGGAUAGGUAAACACUGAAAACUUCUUGUUUGACCUCGGAUCAGGUAGGGAUACCCGCUGAACUUAAGCAUAUCAAUAAGCGGAGAG
Molecule: ribosomal RNA, 489 nt
Filed under: Pilidium concavum
Lineage: Eukaryota; Fungi; Ascomycota; Leotiomycetes; Chaetomellales; Chaetomellaceae
Description: eukaryotic LSU rRNA
Rfam family: 5.8S ribosomal RNA (bases 157-309)
Source: RNAcentral